UGCCACUAGGGGGUGAAGUUAAAACAAAAUCUAAACGCAUAUGAAUGAAAGACUAUUUACUUUUGAAAAGCUAAUGGUAUUUUUCCCUACACACAGAAUACAGAGGGCAGAAUAAUCAAAGAUAUCAAACACACAAAGAGACUCUGAGCUAUAUAUAACAGAUCAAGUGCAACAGAUCAAGAAAAAAUCCUAUUAAUUGACAGUUAUCUCAGUUUUAAUGUGACAAGACAGAAGUUGGUUUAAAUAUGAGAAACUCAAACCACACCCACAUUUACAGACAAUAUACUGUAGCUGCACAAACCACUCUCCAUUACAUUCAUACAUUUACCUUUCAAAUUAAAAUCAUAAAGCAUAUACUGAUGCGACUAUAGAUUAUUAGUAAAUUUCCCACCAUGGAGAGAUGUAUUCUGCUGCUUCUUAUAACUGUAUCAGGUGUAUUUGCUGACAGCAUUAAACCAAAAGACAAGGAAAAUAUAAUCAGGACAGAAGGAGAGUCUGUGACACUGAGCUGUACAUAUGAUGCAAGCAGCAGUAAUAUUAUGCUUUACUGGUACAGACAGUAUCCAAACAGAGAACCUCAGUAUUUACUGCGGAAAGGUGCUGGAUCGUGGAGCAAUAGUGAGGAUAUACCAGAUCCUCACUUUCAGUCGACUACAACCCAAACAUCCACUGAACUCAUUAUUAACAGUGUGACUCUGUCAGAUUCAGCUCUAUAUUAUUGCGCUCUGGAGCCCAGUGAUACAAAGUCUAUGUGAAGCUGUACAAAAACUGAAAAUUAUUUUUCACUUUGAUCUCAAGCCGCAUCAAACCCACAAUCUAUAAUUCACACAAUAUAAUUACACUUGUGGAAACACCUGUGUGUGGUUAUAGACUGAAAUUUAGUUCAAAUUAUAACAAACUGGAGGCAAACUGAAGAAAAAAAGAAAAGAAAAAAAAACAUACUGUAUGUACAUAUUCUACUAGAA
Molecule: non-coding RNA, 965 nt
Organism: Megalobrama amblycephala (Wuchang bream)
Lineage: Eukaryota; Metazoa; Chordata; Actinopteri; Cypriniformes; Xenocyprididae
Source: the annotation of a RefSeq genome assembly